GAUGAAGAACGCAGCGAAAUGCGAUAAGUAAUGUGAAUUGCAGAAUUCAGUGAAUCAUCGAAUCUUUGAACGCACAUUGCGCCCGCCAGUAUUCUGGCGGGCAUGCCUGUUCGAGCGUCAUUUCAACCAUCAAGCCCCCGGCUUGUGUUGGGGACCUGCGGCUGCCGCAGGCCCUGAAAACCAGUGGCGGGCUCGCUGGUCACUCCGAGCGUAGUAGUUACAUCUCGCUCAGGGCGUGCUGCGGGUUCCGGCCGUUAAAAGCCUUAUUUACCCAAGGUUGACCUCGGAUCAGGUAGGAAGACCCGCUGAACUUAAGCAUAUCAAUAAGCGGAGGA
Molecule: unclassified non-coding RNA, 335 nt
Filed under: soil metagenome
Description: partial contains 5.8S ribosomal RNA, internal transcribed spacer 2, and large subunit ribosomal RNA
Rfam family: 5.8S ribosomal RNA (bases 1-120)
Source: RNAcentral